AAGUCGUAACAAGGUUUCCGUAGGUGAACCUGCGGAAGGAUCAUUAAAAGAUAUGGCAUGUCCCUUGUGGAUAUUACCAAUCAACCCAUUCUGAGUACCUUACCUGUUGCUUCCACACAGUGUCUGUGCAUUAGUACUGACAUCCUGAUGAUAGGUGAAAGCCUAUCGGAGGGAGAUGUGUGGAGGGUAUACUUAUAAACUCUUGCAUUACCAUGUAUUCUGUCUGAUAAUGUUUAAUAUAAACUAUUAAAACUUUCAACAACGGAUCUCUUGGUUCUC
This 279-nucleotide unclassified non-coding RNA is filed under the name fungal sp. RNAcentral describes it as "partial internal transcribed spacer region". The stretch from base 1 to 46 matches the Rfam family "Eukaryotic small subunit ribosomal RNA", at positions 1786 to 1831 of the family's 1831-position model. RNAcentral also lists the same sequence under 1 other name. The record is from RNAcentral. Lineage: Eukaryota; Fungi.